This 225-nucleotide ribosomal RNA is filed under the name uncultured bacterium. Its description in RNAcentral is "partial 16S ribosomal RNA". It matches the Rfam family "Bacterial small subunit ribosomal RNA", at positions 524 to 747 of the family's 1533-position model. The record is from RNAcentral.
UACAGAGGUCCCAAGCGUUGUUCGGAUUCAUUGGGCGUAAAGGGUGCGUAGGUGGCGCUGUAAGUCGGGUGUGAAAUUUCGGAGCUUAACUCCGAAACUGCAUUCGAUACUGCGGUGCUUGAGGACUGGAGAGGAGACUGGAAUUCAUGGUGUAGCAGUGAAAUGCGUAGAGAUCAUGGGGAAGACCAGUGGCGAAGGCGGGUCUCUGGACAGUUCCGUGACACU